RNAcentral lists this ribosomal RNA (253 nucleotides) under uncultured bacterium. RNAcentral describes it as "partial 16S ribosomal RNA". It matches the Rfam family "Bacterial small subunit ribosomal RNA", at positions 524 to 776 of the family's 1533-position model. The record is from RNAcentral.
UACGGGGGGGGCAAGCGUUGUUCGGAAUUACUGGGCGUAAAGGGUUCGUAGGUGGCCCGCUAAGUCAGACGUGAAAUCCCUCAGCUCAACUGGGGAACUGCGUCUGAGACUGGCGGGCUUGAGUGCAGGAGAGGAACGCGGAAUUCCAGGUGUAGCGGUGAAAUGCGUAGAUAUUGGGAGGAACACCAGUGGCGAAGGCGGCUACCUGGACCGGUUCUGACGCUGAUGCGCGAAAGCGUGGGUAGCAAACAGG